Molecule: unclassified non-coding RNA, 1091 nt
Filed under: Hevea brasiliensis (rubber tree)
Lineage: Eukaryota; Viridiplantae; Streptophyta; Magnoliopsida; Malpighiales; Euphorbiaceae
Source: RNAcentral
GCUAACACCAUGUAAUAAUGAGAAUAAACAUCAGUACGAUCUCAACAUUCAUUUUUAUUAGUACCCAGAACGAAAUUUGCAUAAUCUCAUGGGUAGACAAGCUAAAGGAAUUUAAAUUCCUCUUGGAAAUUUUGUAUUCACACAACGUAACGUAUUAUUUUAUCCAUGAAAAGUAUCACAGUUGUCUUUACAUUAUUACUGGAAGAGGAUGCACCUGGUAGGUGAACCAUCUCCAUGAACCAGCCUCAACGGUAGACAGUGAAUUGUAUAAACUCCUGGGACUGCAUCAUCGAGGUUGAGACCUUCCACUGGAAUAAUAUCUUUAGAAUUAAGAAGAUGUUGAUGAACUUUAAGGAGCUCAUCCUUGGGACUAAUGGCAACAGAUAAGUAAUCAACACCAACGAGUUUGAUGUCAGUAUUCUGGGCCAAAUACUCUGCUCCGUCUGAGGUGAAUGCAGAAUACGACGAAUCAUAUUCUUUCUUGUACAUCAGCCUCCUGUCUGUGUUUGAUGUUCGAAAAAGAACACGUUUCACUCCUCGAGGUAUGUUCAAUGACCUCAUAACUUCAUCUGUAAUAUUCUUGUUCCGUGGAGUAUCUACUACAAGAACUGGACCAUUCAAAGUUUGGAGAUGAAGUGAAACAACAUCGUAACCCGACUCGAAUAAUGUCUCAUUGAAAUGUCCAGGAGCAUCAACGUGUGUACCAGAAUGAGUAGUAAGUUUAAAAACAGAAAAAUUAUACAGAUCACCCAACUUAAUGCUAGUCUUAAGUUUUAUAUAGUUUCCAAGUCCACUUUUGGAAUCAUAAGCAGGCAAAUCAGGAACAUACUUGUGGCUAAUGUCAAUCACUUUCUUUUUCAUAUAAUUUCUCUCUUCUCUCGUGAUUUUUUGUAGAUCUAAUCUGCUCGCUGCCUCAGAGGCGCUUGCCACACAGACUAGUGUCAGUACGGCAGCAAGCAGAAGGAGAAGGGAGUACUGUGAAUUGUUGGGAUUAGUCAUGGAGAUGAUUGAUUGGAGAAGAGUUUUAAGUGGAUAAAAGGGGAAGGAGAGAUUUAAGGGCCUGUUUGGAUCUAUUUACUUUUAAAUAGUUU